Molecule: non-coding RNA, 72 nt
Organism: Parelaphostrongylus tenuis
Lineage: Eukaryota; Metazoa; Nematoda; Chromadorea; Rhabditida; Metastrongylidae
Source: the annotation of a GenBank genome assembly
GCCUCUGUGGUUUAGUGUUAGCACGCGGCCCCGGUAUAGAUGAAACGCGGGUUCGACUCCCGCCUGAGGACG